This 253-nucleotide ribosomal RNA is filed under the name uncultured bacterium. RNAcentral's name for it is "partial 16S ribosomal RNA". It matches the Rfam family "Bacterial small subunit ribosomal RNA", at positions 524 to 776 of the family's 1533-position model. The record is from RNAcentral.
UACAGGGGGUGCAAACGUUGCUCGGAAUUAUUGGGCGUAAAGCGCGCGUAGGCGGCUACUUAAGUCGGAUGUGAAAGCCCUUGGCUCAACUGAGGAAGUGCACCCGAAACUGAGUGGCUUGAGUGCGAAAGAGGGUCGCGGAAUUCCCGGUGUAGAGGUGAAAUUCGUAGAUAUCGGGAGGAACACCGGUGGCGAAGGCGGCGACCUGGGUCGACACUGACGCUGAGGCGCGAAAGCGUGGGGAGCAAGCAGG